Molecule: non-coding RNA, 1557 nt
Organism: Salmo salar (Atlantic salmon)
Lineage: Eukaryota; Metazoa; Chordata; Actinopteri; Salmoniformes; Salmonidae
Source: RefSeq, a predicted model, not a curated record
GGUACGCCAUGUGCGACUGACGUGUUUUCCGUUUGCUCCCGCAGUAUUCUUAAAGUUUAUGUGAAUUUUGCAGCAGAACUGUAUUUGUUUUCAAAUAUUAGUUUGGUGAUCCCUUUCCGUAAAAACCAAGACUACUUUGCUUUCGAAUGUCAGCAUGUCGACGAAACAUACGGCCAAAAACCUGACUUUGAGAAAACCCGGCCUACAAGACCCACUCUCAUCACCGCCCUCUCCUGAGUCUGAAGGCCCGGGGACUCACACUUUACCCGGGGGUGCGGAUUGGCCUGGCGGCGCUGAAAUGAACAUUCUUCGAGGCCAUCAAGCUACUACGCACUGAGAUAGUUGAAAUGAAAACGGAGGUAGUUGCUACGAUUGAGGCCCGAAUACAGGAGGUUUCUGAUACUUUAAAAGCAGAUUUACAUUUUAGUCAUUUAGCAGGCAUUCUUAUCCAGAGCAACUUACAGUAGUGAAUGCAUACAUUUCAUUCAUUCAUUGUUUUUUUUUUUGUACUGGCCCCCCGUGGGAAUUGAACCCACAACCCUGGCGUUGCAACGCCAGCAUGGUGUGUGCAAACACAAGAAUUGCCGUCUAACCAUCCUGCGAAAGGAGACGGUGCCAGCAAUCACAUCACUCAAAACAACAACAGAGUUGCACACUACAACGAUUGCAGCACUGGAGACCUCCGCUACCAAUGUCUCCGACUUAACUACCUCUCUGGAGGCUGAUGUGAAACGCCUGGAUGCGGAUUUGGAAAAGGUGCAGGAGAGUUGUGAGUUUAGAGGGAUUCUCUUGCCGCAAUAACCUGAGACUGGUAUCGGUCCCAGAGUCAGUGGAAGUGCCACGGAUUUAAUUUCUGGGCUGCUGAAGGAUGCUCUUGCCUUGGAUGAGAAGUCCCUGAUUGAUCGUGCCCACCGGUUGCUGCGCCCAAAGUCCCGGGAUGGUGAGAGGCCCUGUGACAUAAUUCUUCGAGUGCACUUUUUCCAUGAGAAGAUGGAGAUUCUCAGACGAGCCCGUCUGAAUACCACUCAAUACCACUCUGAGCUUUCAAGGACAGAGCUUCUCUAUCUACCAGGACUACUCCCCCACUGUUUCCAGGCAGCGCGCAGCUUUUGGGCAGGCCAAACGACUACUACAGGACCAUCCAGGUGUGAAGUAUGGACUGCGAUUCCCGGCCCGUUAAUGGCUAUCUCAUGAUGGUAAAGACUACACAUUUGAGUCUCCGGAUGAGGCUAUGGCUCACAUUCAAUGUCACAUCAAGAAGUCUUGAACUUGCUCAUAGAUCAGCAACUGUUGCUUGUGAGCUGUGGAUAGUUCUGACCAUUUCUGGCGGCCCCUGAGCCAGCCUGCCGUACCAUUCUGCCUGCCCUGACCCCGAGCCUGCCUGCCGUCCUGUACUUAUCUGACUCUGACCUGGUUUACGAACUUCUGCUGCCCUGACCCUGAGCCUGCCUGCCGCCCAGUACCUAUCGGACUCAGACCUGGUUACGAACCUCUGCCUGUCCUUUACCUGCCCUUUGCCUGCCUCCUGUGGUUUAAUAAACUACUCUGUGUAUUGAA